Molecule: ribosomal RNA, 460 nt
Filed under: uncultured bacterium
Lineage: Bacteria
Description: partial 16S ribosomal RNA
Rfam family: Bacterial small subunit ribosomal RNA
Source: RNAcentral
CCUACGGGUGGCAGCAGUGAGGAAUAUUGGUCAAUGGACGCGAGUCUGAACCAGCCAAGUAGCGUGAAGGAUGACUGCCCUAUGGGUUGUAAACUUCUUUUAUCAAGGAAUAAAACGAGGCACGUGUGCCUUUUUGCAUGUACUUUAUGAAUAAGGCUCGGCUAACUCCGUUCCCGCAGCCGCGGUAAUACGGAGGAUCCGAGCGUUAGCCGGAUUUAUUGGGUUUAAAGGGAGCGUAGAUGGGUUGUUAAGUCAGUUGUGAAAGUUUGCGGCUCAACCGUAAAAUUGCAAGUGAUACUGGCAGUCUUGAGUACAGUUGAGGUAGGCGGAAUGCGUGGUGUAGCGGUGAAAUGCUUAGAUAUCACGAAGAACCCCGAUUGCGAAGGCAGCUUACUAAACUGUGACUGACAUUGAUGCUCGAAAGUGUGGGGAUCAAACAGGAUUAGAUACCCGUGUAGUC